RNAcentral lists this ribosomal RNA (250 nucleotides) under uncultured bacterium. RNAcentral describes it as "partial 16S ribosomal RNA". It matches the Rfam family "Bacterial small subunit ribosomal RNA", at positions 524 to 772 of the family's 1533-position model. The record is from RNAcentral.
UACGGAGGGUGCGAGCGUUGUCCGGAAUCACUGGGCGUAAAGGGCGCGUAGGUGGCUUAGCAAGCGUGUGGUGAAAGCCCGGGGCUUAACCCCGGGUCUGCCAUGCGAACUACUAUGGCUAGAGUACUGUAGAGGCAGGUUGAAUUCCGGGUGUAGCGGUGGAAUGCGUAGAGAUCCGGAAGAAUACCGGUGGCGAAGGCGGCCUGCUGGGCAGUUACUGACACUGAGGCGCGACAGCGUGGGGAGCAAA